CGAUUAUAAAAUUGAACACUAGAACAGCACCCAUAGCACAAUUUGAUACCUAACGAUGGCAACAUCUGGAGAUUUCCCGGAGGCCUAUUCCGAGCCCUUCACUCUUGCUCUGACGCCAAUACGCGAGGUUGCCACCGUGCCUCCUUAGUAGUUCCUUAUAAGUGUUGUGAUAUCUAUACACUGGGCCUUAUUUUACGUACAUGUUGACAUCAAACUAAUAAACUGAAACUCGGA
This is a long non-coding RNA of Hyalella azteca, 234 nucleotides long. RefSeq lists it as uncharacterized. The transcript has 2 exons. Lineage: Eukaryota; Metazoa; Arthropoda; Malacostraca; Amphipoda; Hyalellidae. The record is from RefSeq and is a predicted model, not a curated record.